AUUGAACGCUGGCGGCAUGCUUUACACAUGCAAGUCGAACGGUAACAGGCCUUCGGGUGCUGACGAGUGGCGUACGGGUGAGUAAUGCAUCGGAACGUACCCAGAGGUGGGGGAUAACGCAGCCAAAGCUGUGCUAAUACCGCAUGUGAUCUGAUGAUGAAAGCGGGGGACCGCGCAGCAAUGUUUGGCCUCGCGCCUUUGGAGCGGCCGAUGUCGGAUUAGCUAGUUGGGGGGGUAAAGGCCUACCACGGCGACGAUCCGUAGCUGGUCUGAGAGGAAGACUAGCCAGACGGGGACUGAGACAGGGCCGAGACUCCUACGGGAGGCAGCAGUGGAGAAUUUUGCACGAUGGGGGCGAGCCUGAUCCAGCAAUGCCGCGUGAGGGAAGAAGGCCUUCGGGUGGGAGACCGAUUUUGGCAGGAAGGAAACGGUGUCCGCUAAUACCGGGCGCUAAUGACGGUACCUGCAGAAUAAGCACCGGCUAACUACGUG
RNAcentral lists this ribosomal RNA (492 nucleotides) under uncultured bacterium. Its description in RNAcentral is "partial 16S ribosomal RNA". It matches the Rfam family "Bacterial small subunit ribosomal RNA", at positions 29 to 507 of the family's 1533-position model. The record is from RNAcentral.